Molecule: long non-coding RNA, 1141 nt
Organism: Bombyx mori (domestic silkworm)
Lineage: Eukaryota; Metazoa; Arthropoda; Insecta; Lepidoptera; Bombycidae
Exons: 3
Source: RefSeq, a predicted model, not a curated record
UCUAUUAAUUCGUUUGUUCAUCAUUUGUUCUUGAUUGUUCAUUGUUAAUAAUUGUUUGUUCCCCAUUUAUUUAUUUUAAAAAAAAUAUUAAAAAUAUAUCUAAAAGUUAGCCCCUCGAUUGCAAUUUUUAAUAUUUUUUCGUCCUUAAUUACUCGUAAAUAUUCAUUUUCGAUUGUUCUUAUAUAAAAUACGUUUGUUCUCUUUCGAAAUUACUCAUUUUUUGUUUAAUUAAUUGUAUUAGUUGAAUAAAUGUAUACAAAAUAUGUGUACUGCGCAUGCCAUAAGUGUAUAAUCUAUGGCGCAUGCGUCAACUAUAAUGCCUAAACUUUCUACGCGGUUUUAAUCGUGAAAAAAAAACAAUUAUAAAUCCUGAAGGAUCAAUUAAUUGGUAUACAGUUUAAUUAAAAAAAUUUAAAAAAUAAAUAAAUAAAAUAAUGUGCAUUCGCGUAAAGUUAGCCCAAAUACAUUUUUUCCAUCCUCCUAUAUACCUAUCGCUAUGAAGGUAUAAAAAAGAUAGGUUAAGAGUUCACAUAGCUGGAAAACUACAUGGAGAAUUAUAUGCAAUACAAGAUAAUGAGCUCCAUCAAAUGAAUUCGAAUGAAACCAAACUGUUUACCAUCCAAAUUCGAUUGUCGGGCAGAUAGAAAACGAAAAUUCACUCAUAGUGAACCUCGGCCUGCAUUUGUGAAACGGCAAAGACUCACUAUUAUCAAGGAAAUUGAAGAGACGACUAAAAAUGAGAUGUGUCGUAUUAUUAUACCUUUGGCAUCUUGUAGUCAAGAUGUCCAGCCACUUGAAAAUAGGUGUAGUAAUGACAAAGCUAUCCAAGUAGCUCCAGCACAGGAACACAAAGGCAAGGCAAGUGUGUAUUGCCACAUCACCCCUUAAUAUAUCUGAAGCAAGUAUAAGUAAACAAUCAGAACCAGCAAAAAAAAAAACUGUUGUUCCUGAGGACAAAUUUGACAGUGAUGAGUCAAAUGCACCAGCAACAGAAGGAUCAACUGUUGACUAUGGGUUAUAGAAGAAGAAGAUUAAUUCAUAUUUAUUUAAAUUAAUAUUAAUGAAUAUUAAUUUAAAUUAUCGUGCAAAAUUCGUGGUCAAAACAUAUGUGUAUUUUAUAAAUAAAUAUUCAUUCUCAGUA